GCAUUUGGUAAGCAGGUGCCCUUACCAUAUAAAAGGAGGUGGCGGAGAGAUAGCAUUUUUCCUGCUGUAUGGCUUAUAGGCUGGUGAAGAGUUUUUGUUUAGAGAGAAGCCUUCUGAAAUUACAGAGAAGGGAGAAUACAGACCUCCUUCAGGGAGAAGGCAGCUGCUUGGGUCGGUUCUGUUGUGCAGCUCUGGAGAGGAGAAGAUAUUUCUCACGCUGAGCUACAGGAAGUUGAUGCUGAAAUGCAAUGACAGCAGAUGUUACUGGGAUGCAGUCAUAAGAUGGAGGCAAACGAGCUCUUUGUGACCAGCUCAGGCCACAGCACCAGCAUAUUUCCAGGUGAUUUCUUUACAUGUCUUGAGGAAGCUGCCCAUCUUCAGCUGAGUUUACUCUUACUCCCCAUUCUGUCAGAUCUUGUGAGAGGAGUAGCCUUAUCUCUGCCCCACAACUGACUUUUGCAGAAGAGGAACAUUCGGCUUUCACAAAGCAUGAGAUCACAGCAGAUGGCACGUGCUUAAGAUACACCUGUAGUCUGCUCUACCAGGGCUUGAAUUCACCAUGGCCCUUUUUUCUCUGUGUGAAUUACAUAGUUCAGUCCUGACAGCAGUGAGUUGCCCAGCAUCCUCCAAGGCUGUCAAAACCUAGGACUGUCUCUCAGAGCGAUAUCGUCUUAGUUUGUCUUCUUUCUUUAAGCAGAGGAUUCAUCCUCAGUGCAUGCAGGAGGAGCUAUAACAUUCUUCCUCUGCCUGUGUUUUGCAACUUGCAUUUACACACGAUGUGCUUUGGGCAGGUCACUCGCUAUUAGAAGCCUCUUUUAUAUGAAAACCUUGCAGUUCUUCCUCUGCUGUGGGCUGUUGGCCAUGAGUACCUGGACACCAUGCCGGUAUAACUGCUAACUGGUAUAACAUUGCCAAAAGGCAAUGACAUGCUGCCAUUCUGAUAAGGAAAAGUUAUGCCAAGUUAUUUCUUCAUUCGCAGAACACAAAUCCAGUUUUUGCAAGCUGUUUGCCAGAUUCUGAUAUAAAUCAAUGUAGCCUCUUUACUUAUCCCCAGUCAAGGGCCAUUUCGUUUGCACUUGGUAUUUGUCUAGUCUACUCUAGUUUAAUCGGGGGGGGGGGGGGUUCUGUGCACUGCUCAAGAAUUGCUACAAGGCAUCGUGAGAGAACGCUGUGUUAUUGCUGGGUAAAAGAUCUGAAACAUAUGUAGUCUGUUUUGUAGAGCAUUAGGGCAUCCUUUGACUGAAAAGUACCAUAAUGAGGAAUGGACUAUUAACUGUUAUUCAUGAUUACAUAUGCAAAGCUUGUGAGCCAAGUUUAAUUAAAUUCAAUACAGACAUAUGCAAUAAAAAUGAACAAUUAACAGCAGUGAAGAGUUCUGAUCUGAAUCUGUGAAGACUUUCUUCAUCCCUAUUUGUACAGUGAGAAAUAAAAAGAGUGUGUAAUCUCAACUCUGACAUAUAUAGAAAGAGAAAGUGCAACAUGGAGCUAU
This is a long non-coding RNA of Cygnus olor (mute swan), 1489 nucleotides long. RefSeq lists it as uncharacterized. NCBI's taxonomy places the organism in Eukaryota, Metazoa, Chordata, Aves, Anseriformes, Anatidae. The transcript has 3 exons. The record is from RefSeq and is a predicted model, not a curated record.